GACGAACGCUGGCGGCGUGCUUAACACAUGCAAGUCGAACGGUAAGGCCCUUCGGGGUACACGAGUGGCGAACGGGUGAGUAACACGUGGGUGAUCUGCCCUGCACUUCGGGAUAAGCCUGGGAAACUGGGUCUAAUACCGGAUAGGACCACUGCCUGCAUGGGUGGUGGUGGAAAGCUUUUGCGGUGUGGGAUGGGCCCGCGGCCUAUCAGCUUGUUGGUGGGGUGAUGGCCUACAAAGGCGACGACGGGUAGCCGGCCUGAGAGGGUGACCGGCCACACUGGGACUGAGAUACGGCCCAGACUCCUACGGGAGGCAGCAGUGGGGAAUAUUGCACAAUGGGCGCAAGCCUGAUGCAGCGACGCCGCGUGAGGGAUGACGGCCUUCGGGUUGUAAACCUCUUUCAGCACCGACGAAGCGCAAGUGACGGUAGGUGCAGAAGGACCGGCCAACUACGUGCCAGCCGCCGCCGUAA
RNAcentral lists this ribosomal RNA (475 nucleotides) under uncultured bacterium. RNAcentral's name for it is "partial 16S ribosomal RNA". It matches the Rfam family "Bacterial small subunit ribosomal RNA", at positions 28 to 523 of the family's 1533-position model. The record is from RNAcentral.